GACGAACGCUGGCGGCGUGCUUAACACAUGCAAGUCGAACGGAAAGGCCCUGCUUUUGUGGGGUGCUCGAGUGGCGAACGGGUGAGUAACACGUGAGUAACCUGCCCUUGACUUUGGGAUAACUUCAGGAAACUGGGGCUAAUACCGGAUAGGAGCUCCUGCGGCAUGGUGGGGGUUGGAAAGGUUCGGCGGUUGGGGAUGGACUCGCGGCUUAUCAGCUUGUUGGUGGGGUAGUGGCUUACCAAGGCUUUGACGGGUAGCCGGCCUGAGAGGGUGACCGGCCACAUUGGGACUGAGAUACGGCCCAGACUCCUACGGGAGGCAGCAGUGGGGAAUAUUGCACAAUGGGCGGAAGCCUGAUGCAGCAACGCCGCGUGCGGGAUGACGGCCUUCGGGUUGUAAACCGCUUUCGCCUGUGACGAAGCGUGAGUGACGGUAAUGGGUAAAGAAGCACCGGCUAACUACGUG
RNAcentral lists this ribosomal RNA (468 nucleotides) under uncultured bacterium. RNAcentral describes it as "partial 16S ribosomal RNA". It matches the Rfam family "Bacterial small subunit ribosomal RNA", at positions 28 to 507 of the family's 1533-position model. The record is from RNAcentral.